CUUUUAGAUUUAGCAUAAUAGACUUUGGUUUUAGUUAAUUACUUAUUUGGUCAGUCUUGUAAAUUGUAAUUUUUAUUCAAUCUGAUAAUCAUUUUCAUUGAUUCAAAAAUUAUUUUGAUGGAUAAUCUAUAACAACUUUAAAAAAUAAUGAUGAUAGAUAUUCAAUCAAAGUAACUAAACUUAUUAAUGUGUUAAGAUAUUAACAUAAAAAUAUUUUCCAAACGAAUCAAAAAAUAAAGUGACCAAAUUCGAAGUAUACUAGCAACUAGCAAAGCAAAGGAGAGAGACCCACCUAACACAAUUAUUGAAUCUCAUUGCAUCGAAACUUCCAAACUACACAGUAUAUAAUGAAAGAAAGGAAGAAGCUAAGUAUAACCAUUAUAUGCAAGUCCUCCUUGUAUCUUGUCGUCACAAUGAGACUCUCUUUCUUUCUUCAAUGCUUGCUUUGUAUCUGCCUAGCACUGCUUCUUAUUCAGCCAUCCAUUGUUUUUGGGGAUGACGGAGAGGAACGAGGCCGUUUCAGCGAUCAUCCCUUAAAGUCGCCACCAAGAUCACGUAGGGCCCGUUCUACCCACCCAUGAAUCACAAAUAAAGAAUGUCAAGUUACAUAUAACUCAUUACUUUUCUGUAUAGCAAGUUUUUUUUUCAUUUUUAUUAUUCCACGGAGCUAGUUAUGAUACUCAAAUUAAUUGAGUUCCAUACCACAUCUAAUACUAUAUUAGUUUGAUAUUAUAACCAUUUAGCUUCCCUUAAAUAAUUUGCAUAGCCAAUCUGCGUGUGUAUGUAAUAUCCUUGCUUUUUCAUUCGUAUUUAUUUAUGUUAUAAUUCUUUGGUGCAGUA
Long non-coding RNA from Arachis ipaensis, 840 nucleotides. RefSeq lists it as uncharacterized. Lineage: Eukaryota; Viridiplantae; Streptophyta; Magnoliopsida; Fabales; Fabaceae. The record is from RefSeq and is a predicted model, not a curated record.